Molecule: long non-coding RNA, 1639 nt
Organism: Gasterosteus aculeatus aculeatus (three-spined stickleback)
Lineage: Eukaryota; Metazoa; Chordata; Actinopteri; Perciformes; Gasterosteidae
Source: Ensembl
GUGUCCUGCUGUGCAGCAUCUCUCCUCUAUCACGUUGGCUCUCUAUCUCUCCUAUACCUUGUAUCCACUCUGUCUACAAGUUGGCUCUCUAUCUAUCCUGUACCUUGUAUCCACUCUGUCUACAAGUUGGCUCUCUAUCUAUCCUGUCACAUCUACCGCUCUGUCUUUUGCAUAUGGCAACUCACACUUUGUGUCCCCCUCUAUCCCACUCUCACGUUGGUAAUCUUUGGCAAUGGAAUGGAACAAACUCUGGAAACCUUUCUCUGAACUGAACUGAAUUUUGGACUAAGCUCUGUUGGCUCGACUUGGGUUACUGGUACCUAAUCUAUCUGACUUGAAUACUCUGAGAGACUCUCUUCUCUCACCCUCACCUCUUACCUCUCCUAUCUACAACUUAUACACUUAUCUCUAGAACACUAUUGCUGUUUUUGCAACUCGGACAAAGCAUUUAUACUAUUUCCGAGACUUUUUCCCAACACAUUGGUUAAACAAAACUGAAAAGUUAAUUCAGAAACUGAAAGAAACCACACAUAACCUACAUAUUUUGUUGUAAUUGAUAAAAAGUACCUUUUAUCAUUUAGAAUUGAAUGGUACAUUUUCAAAUAUAUAUUUCGAGUAAAUCAUUACAUUAACAUAAUUCAAGAAAGUUGCUCCCUUGUUACUUUACAUAAAAACAAUUGUAGUAAAAGUCUAUAUCAUAUAAAAGGAAUAGUUAAUUUCCUGAUCGUUGUUGCUUUGGAGCUCCGCUGGUUUGUACCCAAAGCUUUGUUUUGGUAGCAGUACUCUAGAAAUCUGUAAUAACAAUUUCCUGUAUAAACGUACAUUAUUUCAAACAUUCAGUGUAUUUGUGUGUUUAGUUGUUUCACUUUGUUCAUACUGAAAUAAAACAAAGCCAUCUAUAAGGAGGAAGUGGAUUCAUUGGGAGUUGCUGCCUUCUGUCUGCAGGCCCGACAUUCAGAAGCUUUCAUCCAUCAUCACGUUGCCACGACAACGCUUCCUGAUUUAAUAUAAACCCAAGUAUUAUAAGUUGUUCUCUUGGUGUUCUUGAUCAGUAAAAGCAGACAAAGGUUUAAUCUAUUUUCACAUUCUGCUUUGUUAAGUUACUUUUACCAUUAAUAUUGUGUUUAGUACCUUGGUUGUGUACAAUACAAGUAAAACAAUAACAUUUGUGGUUUUGAAACACAACAAUGCCCAGAAAGAGUAAGAGGUCACAAGCUCAGAGCCAGCGCUGGCAGCGGACCAAAGAGAAUCCCUGUGCAACAACGACUGAAGGAGCAGAAUGUGUUGGUCCUGAGAGCAGUGAAGAGGUAAAGAUGUCUGCAGAGUCUCAUGCUGGAAGUGUGAAACAGGGAGUUCCAAGUGAGUCACAGGUAUCAGAUACUGUAAAGAGAGGACAACCCAGUAAAGAACCAUGUGCAGCAGGACCUUCUAAUGCAGACUGUGUAGACCCUGGAGAUCAGCCUUCUGAACAACAUGUCCGUGCAUCCCACAGCCAGGCUUCUAUCAGAUACGGCAGAUCCAGAAAUCGGCAGUGCACCUGUAACUCACUGACCUUUCUUGCAUUCCUCCAUGAGAAUGAAAGCAUCACCAGAGCAGACCUGGACCAUGUUUUGGAUAAAGGUAACACGAUGUAUAGAGA